GCUCGAGUGGCGAACGGGUGAGUAACACGUGAGUAACCUGCCCUUGACUUUGGGAUAACUUCAGGGAACUGGGGCUAAUACCGGAUAGGAGCUCCUGCUGCAUGGUGGGGGUUGGAAAGUUUCGGCGGUUGGGGAUGGACUCGCGGCUUAUCAGCUUGUUGGUGGGGUAGUGGCUUACCAAGGCUUUGACGGGUAGCCGGCCUGAGAGGGUGACCGGCCACAUUGGGACUGAGAUACGGCCCAG
Molecule: ribosomal RNA, 244 nt
Filed under: uncultured Actinomycetales bacterium
Lineage: Bacteria; Bacillati; Actinomycetota; Actinomycetes; Actinomycetales
Description: partial 16S ribosomal RNA
Rfam family: Bacterial small subunit ribosomal RNA
Source: RNAcentral